UCCACCACACGUGUGGGUGUUAGCGUUGUCCUAAAAAGGGUACCACCCCUAGAAAAGGUAUCUAAUUUUAGGUGACCCAUGUAUGAAGCCCAACGUUUUUAUGCAAGCCCAUUAGAGUCGACAUGUACCAUUCUGUACAAUUUCUUUUCUAAGUAAAAAACAGCCUGUGUCCCAUACAUGUCAUCUACAUAGAAUAGAACUAUCCCCUUUUCUAAAAAAAAGAACCAUCCCCAGCUCUCGUACGAUCCCCACCAGGCUGCUGAGUCCUCAUCCUCGUUUGCCAUUUCUUCCGAUUUGCCGCCGGCGAAGGAAGAUGUCACCGUUGGCCAUCAGAAAAUUAAUACCCAGGUUAUCCCAGAUCUACAUGUCGUUUCUUUUCUCUGAGUUUUGCUUCCAUGGGGUGGUGGCGCAUGUGGCUGGGUGAGUGCACGGAUCUCGGCAACCUCCUCGAGCCUGGAGACAUGUCCACGGAGAUUGCCAAGGAGAAUUUGGGUUGUGCUGUUCAUACUUGCCAUCGCCGGGUGCUUUGGAUGUUGGUGGCGCGGAGGUAGUGAGGGAACUCACGAAGCAAGGAUGUGAAGCAGCUUGUGCGGGCGGCUUCCUACUUGUUGUCUUGUUCAUUGUUGGUGUUGUUUGGAGUCCUACCAAAUGUAAGAAGGAAACGCAGACAGUUGGGUAUGACUUACGUAGAAAUCGAGUUGCAUGCCACUUCAUAAUUUGGGCUGGCCUCGAAAUUUGCGGAGCGCAGAGUCCAAACAUCUCGCGUCAGAGUCUGUUGGCUUCAACUGUCCUGGUGGUGGCAUCGUCGAGUCACGGCAUCGUAGAGUUGGUUGGCUUCAAUUUUCCUGGUCGUGUCGCUGAGUCGCAAGUUGCUGGACGUCUUAGAUUUCCAGACUGAAGAUGGGCGUGUUUGGCUGUUGGGUGUGGUCGGCCGUCUAUUUUUAUGGAUGAGUUCUGGCCAUGUCCUUAUGGAGUCCUUGUAUGUUUAUAUUUCCAAUUAAACGCUAUGUGCGAAUAGUCUGAUGGAUGCGGCCAGCCGUGUAUUUUUGGGGACGUGUCCGUAUGCACUCGUUGGCUGACCAAGUUACUAAUGUGUCCUUGCGAGUUCCGAUUAGGAAUUGUACCUGACAAUAGUUGGAUAUGUAACCUCUACUGUCCAUAUCUAAUAUUAGUUGUAGAGGUAAUUUAAUCUUUGAUUUUUUUUGUGAACCGGUGCUCCCUUCUAUGACUCCGUUGAUGUACCUUAUGCAUGUGUGUAUGCAUAUAGACGUGACAGUUCAAUUUCCCAACACGUACAUAUUUAGUGUUACGUAAAAUCUUUAAA
Long non-coding RNA from Aegilops tauschii subsp. strangulata, 1324 nucleotides. RefSeq lists it as uncharacterized. Lineage: Eukaryota; Viridiplantae; Streptophyta; Magnoliopsida; Poales; Poaceae. The record is from RefSeq and is a predicted model, not a curated record.